Long non-coding RNA from Dromiciops gliroides (monito del monte), 1209 nucleotides. RefSeq lists it as uncharacterized. The record is from RefSeq and is a predicted model, not a curated record. The transcript has 3 exons. Lineage: Eukaryota; Metazoa; Chordata; Mammalia; Microbiotheria; Microbiotheriidae.
CUCUAAGCAUUCACUGAAGGGGAACAGUGGAGAAUGCAGCACGAUUUAAAGAAGAGUUCCCCUUCCCCCAGACGGCAAAGAUGACUGGUUUGCUUUCACUUAAGGGAAAACCCUGGAUUCAGUCAUAAAAAAUGAAGCACACAGAUAAGAAGCAGCUCCGAUCAAUCACUGUAUAUACCUGGAAAAUUAAAACCUAAUUAAGUGAAAAUUGUAAACAAAUUUUGAACAAGAAAACUUUGGAUUUAACAUCUGCUGCCUGACCCAGGAAAGGGAAAAGGAGAGACAAGAAUUGAACUUAAAUUACCAGAGGACUCAGGCCUAGCAGGAACAGUGUCAGCGAGUGGUCAAUCUGCCUCCCUAGGAACCAUGAAGGAAUUUCAGUCAAUGCUACCUUAGCCUGAUAUUAUACAUUUUAAGCCUCUAAUCCUAAUUAUGGGAUAGAAGACUAUGUGACAUUGGCUUACAAAGGAGAUGCUUUCUUGGGGUAUAAAGGAUCCUAGGAUCCUCGUGAUGCCUCUGUUCUUGUAAGAUAGAAUAAUGAAGGGGGCAGCUAUGUGGUGCAAUGGAUAAAGCACUGGCCCUGGAUUCAGGAGGACCUGAGUUCAAAUCCACCCUCAGAAACUUGACACUUAUUAGCUAUGUGACCCUGGGCAAGUCACUUAACCCUCAUUGCCCUGAAAAAAAAUAAACAAACAAAAUAAAAAAUAAAAAGAUAGAAUAAUGGAAUAUCAGAAUUGGAAUGUAGCUCUUGGAAGGAACCUCCAAGACUUGUCUGACACAUACCUGACCAAGAAUGUUCCCUAUAACACCCAGGAUAAGGGUCAUCCAAUUUUGCUUGAAGACCUGGAGUAAAGAGGAACCCAUUUCCUCUGGAGGCAGCCCAUUCUACUUUGAGAAAAUGCUAGUCGUUAGGAAGUUAUUCCUGAUAUCAAGCCUCUUUUACCCUUUACUCCUGGUUCUUCCCUCUGGGGUCAAGCAGUGCAGAUAUAAAUCCUCUGUUUAAAGUUUAAACUUAGUGUGUCGAGUUUUGUUCGAAUCACAGCCUGGCUCCUUCCUCCCUUUUCAGCCUUGUCACAUUCUACUCUCCUCUGCACACUACACACUUCCUUCCAAGUUACAUUAUAUUUCCCCUGUAUGUUCCAUGAACUGAGGAAGAGGAAGGAAAUGAUAAUUUUAUUAUAUAUUUAAAAGAAAUAGCAAGUAGUACAU